UAGCUAGUUGGUAGGGUAAAGGCCUACCAAGGCGACGAUCGGUAGCUGGUCUGAGAGGAUGGCCAGCCACACUGGGACUGAGACACGGCCCAGACUCCUACGGAAGGCAGCAGUGGGGAAUAUUGGACAAUGGGGGCAACCCUGAUCCAGCAAUGCCGCGUGUGUGAAGAAGGCCUGAGGGUUGUAAAGCACUUUCAGUGGGGAGGAGGAUUGAUUGGUUAAGAGCUGAUUGAUUGGACGUUACCUACAGAAGAAGCACCGGCUAACUCCGUGCCAGCAGCCGCGGUAAUACGGAGGGUGCGAGCGUUAAUCGGAAUUACUGGGCGUAAAGGGUGCGUAGGUGGUUAGAUAAGUUAGCUGUGAAAUCCCCGGGCUCAACCUGGGCAGGUCAGCUAAGACUGUUUGACUCGAGUAUGGGAGAGGGUAGUGGAAUUUCCGGUGUAGCGGUGAAAUGCGUAGAGAUCGGAAGGAACACCAGUGGCGAAGGCGGCUACCUGGCCUAAUACUGACACUGAGGCACGAAAGCGUGGGGAGCAAACAGGAUUAGAUACCCUGGUAGUCCACGCCGUAAACGAUGUCAACUAGUUGUUGGCCUUAUGAAUGAGGUUAGUGACGA
RNAcentral lists this ribosomal RNA (616 nucleotides) under uncultured Legionella sp. RNAcentral describes it as "bacterial SSU rRNA". It matches the Rfam family "Bacterial small subunit ribosomal RNA", at positions 242 to 849 of the family's 1533-position model. Lineage: Bacteria; Pseudomonadati; Pseudomonadota; Gammaproteobacteria; Legionellales; Legionellaceae. The record is from RNAcentral.